GACACGUCGAGACGCGGGGCAGCGGCGCUGCGUGGGGCGGAAGUGCCCGACGUUCCGCCCACUCUUGCGGGGCACGCCGGGAUCAGUAGUUCUCUGCGCGCCACGCGGAGCCUUUAAAUUGAGAGGAGGCGUGUUAAGGUCCAAAUUCCACAAAAAUUGGGUUGAAAAGAGCAAAAGAAAAACAUAACAGAAAAUAGAAGGAUAACAGAAAAUAAAAGGAAGCAACAAAGAAGGGAAGAGUUCUCCCUCUUCCCACUUCAACUGUUCACCUGCCUUACAUACCACCCCAUCUCAUCCUGCUUGAAACCGGUCCGUGCUUCCCUGAGUGACUUUGCGAGUUGUUAUCUGGACUCAGAAAGCAGAGGAAAGGGCUGCUCCUGUUACAAGCUGGCGGCUCCACGUGGUGCUGCGGAAAAGGCAUCCUUGCCGGAGGCAAAGGCAUUUACACCUUCCAGGGAGACACAUGAUUAGAGACGGCAGGGGAGGUGCAGACACAGACAGGGAGGAGGGGGUGGAUAGGCAGCUAACUGAAACUUAAUCUAUUAGAAGAGGAAAGGCCUUUGAAAAGUGAAUUAACGAUAUUUAUGGCUGCAUCAGGUAAGUAGCUGGCGAGAGCUCUCGGAUAAUGAGGCCAAGGUUGAAUUCCCAUAUGGACCAGAGAGAAGCGAUGGCGGAGGUCCUGUGGGGAAGUGAUGCUGUUCCUGCCCGGGCUCUGAGACUUAGGCAAACACACACCUCUCUGAGCCUCAGUUCCCCAGUCUAAAACGGGUAUUCACAGUCCACCUGCCUGUCCCAUAUGUCAUAAGGAAUAAACAAAAAUGGAGAGUAAAGUGCUUUUAAAAAUCAUACGUUUUAAAAAUGGUCUAUUAUUGUUACUGCUUACAUUAUUAUUUUCAUGGCCUAGGCACCCCCUCCCCCACUCCUUUAAAAUUUUUUAAAUUUAAGUUUUCAAUUACAGUUUACAUUCAAUAUUAUUUUGUGUUAGUUUCAGGUGUACAGCAUAGUGGGUUAGACAAUCAUAAACUUUACAGACUGUACCCCCUGAUACAUCCAAUACCCACCCUGCACCAUACGCAGUUAUUACAAAUUAUUGGCUGUAUUUCUUGUUCUGCCCUUUCCAUCUCUGUGACUGUGGUGUAACUACCCAUCUAUACUUCUUAAUCCUUCCCUUUCCCCACUUCUUUGCUGUGUAUCAGCUGGCUGUAGCUCACAGUGGAGAUUCAGUCACACGCUUAUAAACGAAUCAAUACUCCUUCAAUAGGCCCGUUAUGUUGGCCCUGAGUCAAGAAGAUUAUUUUCAUAGAAUGAAUACAAAAUAUGUCCUCAAGUGUUGGUGCUUGGCCUGUCCUACCCACUUCCGGUUAAAUCUUUUUCUUACUUAUUUUAACAUUUGUUCCACUUGGUUGCAGGGCUUCUAACCACUAACCAGUGUGGAUUUCCUGUCUCCUCCAUCUCUGUGUUUUGUCCUUUUGUCUGAUCUCCAGAGAACUAGAAAUUAGUUCAUUUGGCAUCCACUCCCCACUGAUGACAACUAUAGAGCACAUGUGCCUCCCUCCAAUGCCCUGCUCAUUGUGGACGCUGCUCACUGAUGGCACUUUCUCCCACCCACUGCUUAACACCUCUGCCCAACCUGGGGAACCGCUGGUCACAUGUGGCCACCGAUCAUCUGAAAUGUGGCUAGCAGGAACCUCACAAAAGAAAAAAAUGUAAAAGCUCUCUCUCUCUUUUUGGUAUUGUGGACGAAAGAGGCCACAUGCUGGCCUGACAAGCUCAGGAGAGGCCUGCAUGGCAUUCUUGCAAACUCAGAGACCUAAAGUAACCACAAAGGAUGGUCUGAAAUGAAACUUUAACUAAAAGCAGUUAUAGUGGGCAGUUACGUCCU
Molecule: long non-coding RNA, 1882 nt
Organism: Myotis myotis
Lineage: Eukaryota; Metazoa; Chordata; Mammalia; Chiroptera; Vespertilionidae
Exons: 3
Source: RefSeq, a predicted model, not a curated record